Non-coding RNA from Oryza glumipatula, 209 nucleotides. NCBI's taxonomy places the organism in Eukaryota, Viridiplantae, Streptophyta, Magnoliopsida, Poales, Poaceae. The record is from Rfam.
AAUAAGUGUAGUUUUACACUAUUCAUCAUCAAAGUUUAACCGUACGUCUUAUUUGAAAUUUUUUUUAUGAUUACUAUUUUUAUUGUUAUUAGAUGAUAAAAUAUGAAUAGUACUUUAUGUGUGACUAAUUUUUUUAAAAAAAUUUAUAAAUUUUUCAAAUAAAACGGAUGGUCAAAUAUUAGACACGGAUUUCAACGACUGUGCUUAAU